AAUUUUUUUAUUGAAAUGACAAUAAAAUAAAAUAAGAACAGUGAACAUUUUAAUCAAACUUUACCUUUACAAUUAUAAAAAUAUAACCAAAACUUCAGUUUCUUUUAUACAUUUUUCUAUAAACCUAACGCCAGAAUAAUUCUCAAAGCCAAACUAUAAAUGAUUCUUGUACACUGUGAUGUGAACACAGCAACCAAAGUUUAAGUUUUUAAAGCACUGAUCUUUCCCUUAACAGAACAUGAUACAU
RNAcentral lists this long non-coding RNA (247 nucleotides) under Bos taurus (domestic cattle). RNAcentral describes it as "long non-coding RNA NONBTAT009155". The record is from RNAcentral. Lineage: Eukaryota; Metazoa; Chordata; Mammalia; Artiodactyla; Bovidae.